CUGCCUUCACAAAGCCUCAGCCAUGACAACCUGUCUCAGGAUUCUGAUCCAACCCAACAGGUUCCUUCCAGCUAUCAUGCCGCUGCUCGGGCAGGAAUAGCUUCUCUCUGAUGGAACACACAUGAGGAGAUAUGAGAUCCCAGGUAUGCUGUAAAGAAGAACCUCAUCCUGCCAGCCCCACCAGCUAAAGGGGAGAUGUCAGGUCCUCUGAGCCAGCCCCGCAGCCCACCCCUUCACAGACACACUGAUGGCACUCACCUCAGGGAGUCACCAUUUCUACCAUUUAUUGAGCACCUACUCUGUGCCAGACACUAAGCAGAGGGCUGCAGACUCAGCACUCCAAUCAACUCAUCUCAACCACAACUCUUUGAGGCAGGGACUAUUAUUGUCCCCAUUUUGCAGCUAUGAAAGCAGAGGUCUCCAAGCUUACCAAGAAUGUGACUCUACUGACUCCAGAAGUCUGUGCUCCACCGUGCCAUUCCCAGCCAUGGGCAUGGCCUGAGGUCAGCUAAGAAGAAGGGAGCACAGUCACUGUUCUCAAAGACCUUAUGAAUUUGGGGUGUAUAUCUUUCAAAAAGAGAGACUAUCUCAGAUGUCACACAGGUAUCUUGUAUCUUAUAGCUUAAAACACCACUUAAAAAGCAAAGCACAAAGCAGUGUGUUCACUAUGCUACCACUGGUGCAAAAGGAAGGAAACGAACAUAUGUGUUUGCUUUAAAGUAAACACAUUCAAAAGAAACUCUUCAGGAUGUAGGAAAUUGAUAGCAGUGUCUAGCUAAGAGGGAGGGAAUGGACAGAUGGGGCAGAAGGAGCAUUUCACUCGACAAUCCUCUCAUUUUAUUUUUAUUUUCAAAUAUGUAAAUAUAUCCACUAUUAAAAAAAAUCAGAGUUUUUAAUUAAAAAAUUAAAUGUCCGCUCAUGAAUUUUACAGAAAAGGAGCCUGAAGCUCAGAAGGAAUGGCUUGGGGCUGCGACUCACAGCUGGCCAGCCAGAGACUCAGGACAGGCCCUACCCAUCCAUCCCCUCAUUCCACAAGCAUUGGCUUUCCACCCCAGUGUCCACUGGGUCUCACACAUAGAAGGUCUCAGUUCCAUUACCACCACCCUCAUCACCUCCAUUGUCAACACCUCAGCUAUUUCCACCAUGUCGAUACAAUCAUGGCCCAACCUUUGUUAACGCCAUCACCAACAUCACCUUCACCACUACCUCUACCACCACCCUAACAUUUCUAGCACCACCCUGCCCAUCAUGACCUCCAAUUCCACCACCACUGCCAUCAUAACUGUCACCAUCAUCACCUGCAUCACCUCCAGCAUGCCAGUACGACCUUGGCCAAGAGUUUGUCAUUGAUGUGCCUAAGAGCGAUAAGACAGAGGUGGACAUUGAGCUGCAAAACAACAAGAUGAGGAAUGGAGAAAAAUGUUCACAAAAGUUUUGAGCCAGUGCUUCUCUACCAACAUACAUAUUCUAGAUCCUGGCUUGGGAUGGGGUGUCAUGAAGAUGAAUGAGACAAGCCUCCCCGCUCGUUAAGGGAAGUCAAUAUAAAACAGUACGUGUAAAAGAAGGGAGAAGUAACGUUGGGUCUCUCCAGUGGGGAAGAAACUUCAGAAAAAAGAGCAAGCUUUCUUUCACUGCAUUUGUUCAAGACCAGGUCUACACCACGUAAGCAAUCUACUACAUACGUGAGCUGUAGAUUCUAAAGCAACACCGUCCACUGGAACUUUCUGCAGUGAUGGAAAUAUCCCAUGCCUGUACUGUCUGACACAUGUGUGGCUACUGAGUACCUGAAAUGCAUCUAGUGCAACUAAAGAACUGAGUGUUUAAAUUUUUUAAGUUUUUAUUCAUUUAAAUUUAAAUAGCCACAUGUGUCUCAUGGCUACUGCAUCAGACAGGGCAGCCUUAAAGUUUCUAGAAGAAUAAGAGUGAGAAAUGCUGCCAACACGCAGUAGUCACUUGGCUGUCACCAGAGGAAGAGAUUUCUGAGGAUUGAGGCUAGUCAAAGAUAGAAUGUUAGCACUGAGGAACUUCUAGACAUCAAGCCAAGAUUGGGGUCAAGCUGACCUCACCCACCCAGGACAAUCAUGGACCAUCUGAUUUCCCCAGAAGCCCAGGACAGCGGUUACCCCUGAAAUCACCACUGAACCAAGUUUGGGGUGGCCUGAAUUGUCUUUGUUUGGGGCUGUUUGUUUUGAGUGGUGUCAUUAUUUUAUUUUUAAAUUACCUAUAAUGCGCCCUUUAAAAAUUCCCUAAUUACAGAUAGGAUAAAUACAUAAUUGCAG
Molecule: long non-coding RNA, 2279 nt
Filed under: Homo sapiens (human)
Lineage: Eukaryota; Metazoa; Chordata; Mammalia; Primates; Hominidae
Description: HSALNT0358647
Source: RNAcentral